GAGUUUGAUCUUGGCUCAGGAUGAACGCUGGCGGCGUGCCUAACACAUGCAAGUCGAACGGAGUUCUUAAGGAAUGCGGCUUCGGCCAAAUGACUUUUGAACUUAGUGGCGGACGGGUGAGUAACGCGUGAGCAACCUGGCCUUUCAGAGGGGGAUAACAUUUGGAAACAGAUGCUAAUACCGCAUAAGAUUACAGUACCGCAUGAUACAGUGAUCAAAGGAGCAAUCCGCUGAAAAGAUGGGCUCGCGUCCGAUUAGAUAGUUGGUGAGGUAACGGACGUCACCAAGUCGACGAUCGGUAGCCGGACUGAGAGGUUGAACGGCCACAUUGGGACUGAGACACGGCCCAGACUCCUACGGGAGGCAGCAGUGGGG
This 375-nucleotide ribosomal RNA is filed under the name uncultured microorganism. RNAcentral's name for it is "bacterial SSU rRNA". It matches the Rfam family "Bacterial small subunit ribosomal RNA", at positions 9 to 359 of the family's 1533-position model. The record is from RNAcentral.